RNAcentral lists this long non-coding RNA (340 nucleotides) under Musa acuminata (dwarf banana). RNAcentral's name for it is "long non-coding RNA (MACU_LNC002080)". Lineage: Eukaryota; Viridiplantae; Streptophyta; Magnoliopsida; Zingiberales; Musaceae. The record is from RNAcentral.
UUCUCGGCACCGGUCGAUAGAUGUGCGAGGCGGUGGAGACCGGUGAUGUCAUGGGAAGGCUGUGGUGACUGGAAUCACUGAGCUCGGAUGCCGAGGGGCUUCCUGGGCUCAAGCAGAGCCCGGCGCCGCUCGAAGAAAUAGCCGGACCGUCGCUGCUCGUUCUUUUCAACGGCCGCGCCGCCACGACGUCGUCGUCGGGGUGGUGGCGGAACCCGCCAUCGCCGGCGGAAGAGGAGGCACAGUACCUUCGCUUGAGGGUGGAGUUCCAGUGGUUCUUAACGGCGUUGUCCGUCCGACCCGAGAGGAGGCGAGCGAUGGUGGCCCACUUGUUUCCGAAACG